This 253-nucleotide ribosomal RNA is filed under the name uncultured bacterium. Its description in RNAcentral is "partial 16S ribosomal RNA". It matches the Rfam family "Bacterial small subunit ribosomal RNA", at positions 524 to 776 of the family's 1533-position model. The record is from RNAcentral.
UACGUAGGGGGCAAGCGUUGUCCGGAUUUAUUGGGCGUAAAGAGCGUGUAGGCGGUUAGGUAGGUCCGUUGUGAAAACUCGAGGCUCAACCUCGAGACGCCGAUGGAAACCAUCUAACUAGAGUCCGGAAGAGGAGAGUGGAAUUCCUGGUGUAGCGGUGAAAUGCGCAGAUAUCAGGAGGAACACCUGUGGCGAAGGCGGCCAUCUGGACGACGAUUGACGCUGAGACGCGAAAGCGUGGGUAGCAAACAGG